This 497-nucleotide ribosomal RNA is filed under the name uncultured bacterium. RNAcentral's name for it is "partial 16S ribosomal RNA". It matches the Rfam family "Bacterial small subunit ribosomal RNA", at positions 28 to 507 of the family's 1533-position model. The record is from RNAcentral.
GACGAACGCUGGCGGCGUGCCUAAUACAUGCAAGUUGAGCGCUGAAGGUUGGUACUUGUACCAACUGGAUGAGCAGCGAACGGGUGAGUAACGCGUGGGGAAUCUGCCUUUGAGCGGGGGACAACAUUUGGAAACGAAUGCUAAUACCGCAUAAAAACUUUAAACACAAGUUUUAAGUUUGAAAGAUGCAAUUGCAUCACUCAAAGAUGAUCCCGCGUUGUAUUAGCUAGUUGGUGAGGUAAGGGCUCACCAAGGCGAUGAUACAUAGCCGACCUGAGAGGGUGAUCGGCCACAUUGGGACUGAGACACGGCCCAAACUCCUACGGGAGGCAGCAGUAGGGAAUCUUCGGCAAUGGACGAAAGUCUGACCGAGCAACGCCGCGUGAGUGAAGAAGGUUUUCGGAUCGUAAAACUCUGUUGGUAGAGAAGAACGUUGGUGAGAGUGGAAAGCUCAUCAAGUGACGGUAACUACCCAGGAAGGGACGGCUAACUACGUG